GCAUAUCAAUAAGCGGAGGAAAAGAAACCAACAGGGAUUGCCCUAGUAACGGCGAGUGAAGCGGCAACAGCUCAAAUUUGAAAUCUGGCCUCGGCCCGAGUUGUAAUUUGCAGAGGAUGCUUCUGGCGCGGUGCCUUCCGAGUUCCCUGGAACGGGACGCCACAGAGGGUGAGAGCCCCGUAUGGUCGGACACCAAGCCUGUGUGAAGCUCCUUCGACGAGUCGAGUAGUUUGGGAAUGCUGCUCUAAAUGGGAGGUAAAUCUCUUCUAAAGCUAAAUACCGGCCAGAGACCGAUAGCGCACAAGUAGAGUGAUCGAAAGAUGAAAAGCACCUUGAAAAGGGGGUUAAAUAGUACGUGAAAUUGUUGAAAGGGAAGCACUUAUGACCAGACUUGGGCCGGGCGGCUCAUCAGGGGUUCUCCCCUGUGCACUCCGCCCGGCACAGGCCAGCAUCGGUUCUCGUGGGGGGAUAAGACCGUCAGGAACGUAGCACCCUCCGGGGUGUGUUAUAGCCUGGCGGACGAUACCCCCGUGGGGACCGAGGUCCGCGCUCCGCAAGGAUGCUGGCGUAAUGGUCAUCAGUGACCCGUCUUGAAACACGGACCAAGGAGUCGUCCAUUAGAGCGAGCGUUUGGGUGUAAAACCCGCACGCGUAAUGAAAGUGAACGCAGGUGAGAGCUUCGGCGCAUCAUCGACCGAUCCUGAUGUUCUCGGAAGGAUUUGAGUAAGAGUUUUAACGGACGGACCCGAAAGACAGUGAACUAUGCUUGUAUAGGGUGAAGCCAGAGGAAACUCUGGUGGAGGCUCGCAGCGGUUCUGACGUGCAAAUCGAUCGUCAAAUAUGAGCAUGGGGGCGAAAGACUAAUCGAACUGUCUAGUAGCUGGUUACCGCCG
This 893-nucleotide ribosomal RNA is filed under the name Diaporthe eres. RNAcentral describes it as "partial 28S ribosomal RNA". It matches the Rfam family "Eukaryotic large subunit ribosomal RNA", at positions 38 to 963 of the family's 3401-position model. The record is from RNAcentral. RNAcentral also lists the same sequence under 1 other name. Lineage: Eukaryota; Fungi; Ascomycota; Sordariomycetes; Diaporthales; Diaporthaceae.